This 116-nucleotide ribosomal RNA is filed under the name Bacillus subtilis. Lineage: Bacteria; Bacillati; Bacillota; Bacilli; Caryophanales; Bacillaceae. The record is from RNAcentral.
UUUGGUGGCGAUAGCGAAGAGGUCACACCCGUUCCCAUACCGAACACGGAAGUUAAGCUCUUCAGCGCCGAUGGUAGUCGGGGGUUUCCCCCUGUGAGGGUAGGACGCCGCCAAGC